UACGGGAGGCAGCAGUGGGGAAUAUUGGGCAAUGGGCGAAAGCCUGACCCAGCAACGCCGCGUGAGUGAAGAAGGUUUUCGGAUUGUAAAGCUCUGUCCUUGGGGACGAAGGAAGUGACGGUACCCAAGGAGGAAGCCCCGGCUAACUACGUGCCAGCAGCCGCGGUAAU
RNAcentral lists this ribosomal RNA (170 nucleotides) under uncultured rumen bacterium. RNAcentral describes it as "partial 16S ribosomal RNA". It matches the Rfam family "Bacterial small subunit ribosomal RNA", at positions 340 to 524 of the family's 1533-position model. The record is from RNAcentral.